GCGGAUGAGGCCGGGCGCGGUGGCUCACGCCUGUGGUCCCAGCACUUUGGGAGGCCGAGGCGGGCGGAUCACAAGGUCAGGAGAUAGAGACCAUCCUGGCUAACACUGUGAAAUCCGGUCUCUUCUAAAAAUACAAAAAACAAUUAGCCAGGCGUGGUGGCGGGCGCUUGUAGUCCCAGCUACUCAGGAGGCUGAGGCAGGAGAAUGGUGUGAACCCGGGAGGCGCAGCUUGCAGCGAGCCGAGAUGGCGCCGCUGCACUCCAGCCUGGGUGACAGAGCGAGACUCCAUCUCAAAAAAAAAAAAGAAAAAGAAAAAGAAAAGAAAAGAAACUGGCGGACGAAGGAAGAGAUCCUCCUUCAGGCAGGGUAGGGAAGAAGGGCACUCGGUGACCAGAGACCUUUUCCAGGACCAUGUCUUUGAAGCAAAUCUCAGCUCUUGUCUUCCGGAAGCGAUGGAGGCAGAAUCCAGAAGCCUGAGACUCUCUCCUUUCCUGGCUUUGAUGAAGCAAGCUGCCACUCUGGAGAGGCCUACAUGAUAAGGACCUGAAGGUGGCCUCCAGCUAGCUCCAGCCAACAGUCGGCAAGGAAUUGAGGACCUGAGUCCAAUAGACCUUGAGGAACUGAAUCCUGCCAACAGCUACACAAGUGAGCAUGGCAGUGUAUUCUUCCCCAGUAAAGCCUUCAGAUGAGACCCCAGCCCCAGCUGACACCUUGAUUGCAGCCUUGUGAGAGAACCUGAAGCAGAGAAACCAGCUAGGCCUUGCCUGGAUUCCUGAUCCACAAACUGACAUCUGAAAAGUGUCAAAAGACCCUAGGAUAAGACUGAGGAGGCCAUUAUCAGGCUCCCUACAAGGGACUGGUCAUCUUUUAGAAGCCAGAAGAGAAAAACAGCUUUUGUGAUGCCCUAUAAUUCCAUGAACUCUACUAAAAAGAGGGAUACUGGAAAGAAGAAUAAUGUUGAGUCACCUUUGCAGAAGAAAAAACAACUUCCUCUCUUCCUCUACUUCACUCUGGCAAGUUCUCCAACCUGACAAGCCAGUAGGGGACAGUUUUGCUUUUGUCGCCCAGGCUGGAGUGCAAUGGCGUGAUCGUGACUCACUGCAACCUCCGUCUCCCAGGUUCAAGCGAUUCUUCUGCCUCAGCCCCAGUGAGUAGCUGGGAUUACAGGCACCUGCUGCCAUGCCCAGCUAAUUUUUGUAUUUUUAGUAGAGACAGGGUUUCACCAUGUUGGCCAGGCUGGUCUGGAACUCCUGACCUCAGGUGAUCCACCUGCCUCGGCCUCCCAAAGUGCUGGGAUUGCACCUCAGGUAAGCCACCAUGUCCAGCCCACAAGAUAGCCAUCUAAUAUAUAAAGGCACAGAUAGAUUAAAAGCAAAGGGAUGGAGAUAAACAUACCACACUAACAGUAAUCGGAAGAAAAUAGAGGCAGCUAUAUUAAUUUAAAACAAGUCAGAUUUCAGCACAAGGAAAAUUGUCAGGGAUAAAGAGGGGCAUUACAUGAUAACAAAGGGGUCAAUUUUCCAAAAAGCCAUAAUAAUUCCUAAUGUGUACACAUCUAACAACAAGAGUGUCAAAAUAUAUGAGGCAAAAGUGGUAGAACUACAAGGAGAAAUAGAUAAAUCCAUUAUUAUUGUGGGACACUUCAAAAUGUCUCUAUUAGUAAUUGACAGAUAAAGCAGAAAAUCUGUGAAGAUAUUGUUGAUCAGAACACCACUAGUAAUCAGCUUGAUCUAACUGACAUGUAUUGAAUACUUCAUUCAACAGCAUUCUAUUCAAGCUCACAUGGAACAUUAACUAAGGUAAAUCACAUUCUGGGCCAUAAAGCAUACCUUAAUAACUAUAAAAGAAAUUAUAUAAUGUCUACUCUUAGACCAUAAUGUAGCAAAACUAGAAAUCAAUAACAUAAAGAUAUCCAGAAAAUCCCAAAAUACAUGAAGAUUAAACAACACACAUGGGCAAAGAAGAAGUAUCAAGAGAAAUUUUAAAAUAUUUUAAACUAAAUGAAAAUGGAAAAAUCAAAAUUUGCUGCAAAAUCAAAAUUGUAGCAAAAAUAGUGUUUAGAAGGAAAUUUCUAGCAUUAAAUACACAUGUUAGAAAAGAAUAAAGACCUAAAAUCUCUGUACAGCUCUGGCUCACUUAACUGACAGAUGUCUCUCUGUUUCCAAAAUAUUGGAAAGCACAGAUUACUCUUUAGGUAGCACAGAGAUAGAAGGAGGAGCCCCAUCCUACACAGGAAGGCAAGGAUAGGAAUACCCAGGAAGUCAAGCUGGAGCUCAGCCACGGUGCAGUAAGGCUUCUGAGACAAAGAAGGUAGUCUUCAUUAUCAGAAGCUGAGUGCUGAGUCCCCAUUCCAGAUCAGAGUUCCAGGCCUACAUCACGGAACUUUAACAUAGACACCAGAAGUUCUUGAGGGUGGGGCGGGGACAACAAAUGGAAGAUGAACCCACAGUUCUUCCCCCUAUCAUCUAGCCCAACUGAUCUGUCCAUUCCCCUGGGUCCUUUUAGAUCUUCAUCUUACCCUCCAACUGCACCCUUUCAUGAUACUAUAUGUUUACAUUAGUAACAUUUUCUAUUUAUUCCACCUAUUACCUUUUACUGCUUCAUGAUCCGCCUUUGGAGCCCACUAUCUUUGAAAGUGACGUGGCCAUGGAUUUACACCUUCAAGAUCUACUCUGUCCUCAACUAUAACCUCCCCACGAACACAAUGUUUUUUUUUUCACCUGUACAAAACCAGGAAUAUACUCAGCAGCAACCUAUCCCCUCCAUAUUUCUUCAAAAAGAUCCAUGUUUACCAAAAGCCAUCAGAGAACAGAGUAACCUGUACAACAAAGAGGGGCACAAAGGCAUGGCCCAUCUCUGGCAAAAAAUUUGGAACUCUUUCAGUAAUUUUUUCUCCUCUAAUCUCUCUUAGGCUAUUCACCCCUAAGGGCUCUCAAAUCUAGCUCCCUCUACCUAUACAGUGUUCUAUCCUACGCACCUUCUUUCUUCUCUUUACCAAACCCCCUCUCUUCUUCCCAGCAUUUUAAAAUUCUGCCUCAAUUUCACAGAGCAACUGUGCUGAACCACAACCCACAUAACCAAACUUAUCCUGAUUUAGGAAGCAGAUUUCUCCUUAGUGUAAUAUAGCCUAUAAUGAGCACAAUUGAAAAUUAGCAUAGCAUUUUGUUUUGAAUUAUGCCUAUGAUUACUUCUUUUAUGAAAGUUUUUAUUAUUUUUUUCCAUCUACUUCCUAACUUUUCACCCCAAUUCCUAUGGCUCCUCUAUACUUUUUUCAAACAAUGUCUAUUUUGUUUAUAGUAUAUAUGUAUUUAUCUCCCCAUGUUAGCCAGUCAUUUAACAGUUACAACCCUUGAAGCUUCUCUACUUAGGUUAUGAACUGCUGAAAUUAAGCCUUGUGUCAUUGCCUUACACUGCUUGCCUAAAUUCCCUCACUGAGUCUGAUGACUCCAUCUUGACCCCAGGCACCCAAUCCUUUUCAUCUGACGAGGGUUUACCAGUGAUGACAGCUUUACCUGUCUUCUGUAUCCACAGCUUCUCCAUUUUCUCUACCCAAAAGGAGGUAAACUUUAAGCCUGCCUCCUCACAUCUACCCUCCCUUGACUACAGGAGGUCUCUCUGUUGAGAAAUAUAUCUCCAUAUAGCCUUGCAUCCUGAUGGUUUUUGUUGUUUUGGAUGUUUGGUUUCAUUCUGUUUGUUUAUAAUGUCUGGUCCUAACAGCCUGUAUGGUCCCUAGAACUCACAAAUGUAAAAAUGUCCUUUACAGCCAGAGCAAGAUAAGCUCCACCAUAAACUUUCCAAGAAGAGAGGAUUAUAAAAAUUACACAUUGAAUAUAUUCUUCAAAAAGGGUGAUGCCAUAAAAAAAAUGUUGAGAAACUGCUCUAGAUUAGAGACUAAAGACACAUGAGAACUAAAUGCAAUACAUAAUUCUAGACUGGAUCCUGUAAUGGAGGUUAUUUUUAAGCCACAAAGGAUAUUACUGACAAAAAUGGAAUAUGGAUAAGAGAUUAAUUAAAAGUUUUACACCAAUGCUCAAUUUACUGAAGGGGAUAAUUGACUGUGUAAAAGAAUAUUCUUUUCUUAAGAAAUACACAAUGAAAUAGUCAAGAAGAAAGUGGAUGAUGUAUGAAAAGUAUUCUCUGAUGUCCAGGAAUUCAUGUGUGUGUGUGUGUGUGUGUGUGUGUGUGUGUGUGUAUGUGUGUGUGUGGAGAGAGAGAGAGAAGAGAGGAGGUAGGAGGGAGGGAUAUAGGAGAGAGAUCACAAAUGGGUCAAAAUGUGAAUAGGCAAAUCUGGAUAAAAGUUACACUGUUGUGAUAUGGUUUGGAUGUUUCGUUCCCUCCAAAUCUCAUGUUAAAAUAUGACCACCAGUGUUGGAGGUGGGUCUAGUGGGAGGUGUUUGUGUCAAAGGGGUGGAUCCCUCAUGAAUGGUUUGGUGCCCUCCCCAUGGUAAUAAAUGAGUUCAUAUGAGAUCUGGCUGUUUAAAAGAAUGUGCCACCUCCCCCACUCUCUCUCCUGAUCCCUCUCCCACCAUGUGACAUGUUGGCUCUAGUCUUCCUUCUGCCAUGACUAAAAAUCUUCUGAGGCCCUCUCCAGAAGCAGAUGCUGGUGCCACCUUCCUGUAUAGCCUGCAGAACUGUGAGCCAAAAUAAAAUUCUUUUUGUUAUAAAUUA
This is a long non-coding RNA of Gorilla gorilla gorilla (western lowland gorilla), 4668 nucleotides long. RefSeq lists it as uncharacterized. NCBI's taxonomy places the organism in Eukaryota, Metazoa, Chordata, Mammalia, Primates, Hominidae. The record is from RefSeq and is a predicted model, not a curated record. The transcript has 5 exons.